CGUUCCGGUAAACUCAAUUAUAGCGUUCUCCAUUAUUUUGUGGGAAAUAUAAAAGAUGCCAAAAUCAGUUUGGGCCGAAAUCCCUUCUCUCUCUUCCUGAUUUCAAUUUCAAACCCUAACUCUCUCGCUCUCUCUUUCUCUGAACUUAGCUUCUAUAAUUUCAACUGCAACACGCAUGGCGUAGCAAAAGACGGACUACUAAUCGAUCUAUCUAUACAAGCAGAUGGACAACCGCUGAAGUUCCAAUCGAUUUGGGAAGAAAUGGUGCCCUGAGCUUAUCCUCAAACAACCUCACAAAUCAAUCCCUUCCGAUGUCACAACCACUACCGCCUCCUCCCUCUCCACCUCCACGGUGCCGUUGCCGGAAAAUCUACACCGUUUUCUCGGAGAGCCGUUUUCUUUGGGGUUGAAGAGGCGAUAACCCACUUUGUAUUGAGUUCCAUCCAAAGCUUUUGUUAGCCAAAUCUCCAAAGCUACAAAGCAUGAGAAUUAAGCUGAAGUCAAUGGACGUUGCUGAAGAAUCGAGGAUUCUAAAAAAGUUGAUAGGAUAUCGACGUGCAUCAGUUUGUGCAGUAAUCACUUUCCCAAAAUAAAGAAAAUGGAUGAACUUUGGAGAGCCUUAAAAUUAUAAUAAAAGACGCUUCAAAUGAGGAAGAAAGGCUAAAGCUGCAGGCAGCCUGAUACCAUCAAGUCAUUGCAUUAGAAAGAUUUUGUGAAGGAAAAGAAAAAUUCAAGGUACGUACGUGCAUUUUGGUGUUAGUAACUUGCUGAUGAUGAAUUGCUGCUGCUGUGUCUAUAUUAAUUCUUCUACCAUUGGGGGUAUCAACUAAGAUGUCUGUGGGUGGGUGUGAUUCUGGAAUGGUUUUGCUGUGUACUAUCAAGUAUACUA
Rhododendron vialii is the source of this 889-nucleotide long non-coding RNA. RefSeq lists it as uncharacterized. The record is from RefSeq and is a predicted model, not a curated record. The transcript has 3 exons. NCBI's taxonomy places the organism in Eukaryota, Viridiplantae, Streptophyta, Magnoliopsida, Ericales, Ericaceae.